Molecule: ribosomal RNA, 649 nt
Filed under: uncultured Actinomycetes bacterium
Lineage: Bacteria; Bacillati; Actinomycetota; Actinomycetes
Description: bacterial SSU rRNA
Rfam family: Bacterial small subunit ribosomal RNA
Source: RNAcentral
CGGAAAGGCCCUUUCGGGGGUACUCGAGUGGCGAACGGGUGAGUAACACGUGGGUGAUCUGCCCUGCACUUCGGGAUAAGCUUGGGAAACUGGGUCUAAUACCGGAUAGGACUACGGCAUGCAUGUGCUGUGGUGGAAAGUUUUUAACGGUGUGGGAUGGGCCCGCGGCCUAUCAGCUUGUUGGUGGGGUGAUGGCCUACCAAGGCGACGACGGGUAGCCGGCCUGAGAGGGUGUCCGGCCACACUGGGACUGAGAUACGGCCCAGACUCCUACGGGAGGCAGCAGUGGGGAAUAUUGCACAAUGGGCGCAAGCCUGAUGCAGCGACGCCGCGUGGGGGAUGACGGCCUUCGGGUUGUAAACCUCUUUCACCAUCGACGAAGGCCCGCUUUUGGUGGGUUGACGGUAGGUGGAGAAGAAGCACCGGCCAACUACGUGCCAGCAGCCGCGGUAAUACGUAGGGUGCGAGCGUUGUCCGGAAUUACUGGGCGUAAAGAGCUCGUAGGUGGUUUGUCGCGUUGUUCGUGAAAUUCCCUGGCUUAACUGGGGGCGUGCGGGCGAUACGGGCAGACUGGAGUACUGCAGGGGAGACUGGAAUUCCUGGUGUAGCGGUGGAAUGCGCAGAUAUCAGGAGGAACACCGGUGGCGAA